GAUGAACGCUGGCGGCGUGCCUAAUACAUGCAAGUCGAGCGAACAGACGAGGAGCUUGCUCCUCUGACGUUAGCGGCGGACGGGUGAGUAACACGUGGAUAACCUACCUAUAAGACUGGGAUAACUUCGGGAAACCGGAGCUAAUACCGGAUAACAUUUUGAACCGCAUGGUUCAACAGUGAAAGACGGUCUUGCUGUCACUUAUAGAUGGAUCCGCGCCGCAUUAGCUAGUUGGUAAGGUAACGGCUUACCAAGGCAACGAUGCGUAGCCGACCUGAGAGGGGGAUCGGCGACACUGGAACUGAGACACGGACCAGACUCCUACGGGAGGCAGCAGUAGGGAACCUUACGCAAUGGGCGAAAGCCUGGCGGAGCAACGCCGAGUGAGUGAAGAAGGUCUUCGGAUCGUAAAACUCUGUUAUUAGGGAAGAACAAAUGUGUAAGUAACUAUGCACGUCUUGACGGUACCUAAUCAGAAAGCCACGGCUAACUACGUG
RNAcentral lists this ribosomal RNA (497 nucleotides) under uncultured bacterium. Its description in RNAcentral is "partial 16S ribosomal RNA". It matches the Rfam family "Bacterial small subunit ribosomal RNA", at positions 28 to 507 of the family's 1533-position model. The record is from RNAcentral.